AAAAUUUAAUUUUGAUGUAGAAAAGAAGAAACCGAAGUCCGUUAUAAAUCAUCGAAUAACAAAACCAACUCCAACGAAAUCACCUUCAUAUUUCCUUUCUUUUUCUUUUAUUCUCGUAUUAAAUUAUUUUUUUAAUUUCUAUUUAUGCAAUAAUUUUUAUUUUUCUAGUUCUUUCUUUUCGUUUUUUCUUUGUCCUCUACUGAAUUAUAUUCUCAUUCUAAUUUUUCUUAAUAUAUUUUUUAUAUUAUUAACCAAUCAUAUUUUUAAUUUUUUAUAUUUAAUUUAUAAAUUUUUAUUAUAAUGUC
Molecule: long non-coding RNA, 305 nt
Filed under: Ananas comosus (pineapple)
Lineage: Eukaryota; Viridiplantae; Streptophyta; Magnoliopsida; Poales; Bromeliaceae
Description: long non-coding RNA (ACOM_LNC012811)
Source: RNAcentral